ACUGAAUCCAUAGGUUAAUGAGGCGAACCGGGGGAACUGAAACAUCUAAGUACCCCGAGGAAAAGAAAUCAACCGAGAUUCCCCCAGUAGCGGCGAGCGAACGGGGAGCAGCCCAGAGCCUGAAUCAGUGUGUGUGUUAGUGGAAGCGUCUGGAAAGGCGCGCGAUACAGGGUGACAGCCCCGUACACAAAAAUGCACAUGCUGUGAGCUCGAUGAGUAGGGCGGGACACGUGGUAUCCUGUCUGAAUAUGGGGGGACCAUCCUCCAAGGCUAAAUACUCCUGACUGACCGAUAGUGAACCAGUACCGUGAGGGAAAGGCGAAAAGAACCCCGGCGAGGGGAGUGAAAAAGAACCUGAAACCGUGUACGUACAAGCAGUGGGAGCACGCUUCGGCGUGUGACUGCGUACCUUUUGUAUAAUGGGUCAGCGACUUAUAUUCUGUAGCAAGGUUAACCGAAUAGGGGAGCCGAAGGGAAACCGAGUCUUAACUGGGCGUUAAGUUGCAGGGUAUAGACCCGAAACCCGGUGAUCUAGCCAUGGGCAGGUUGAAGGUUGGGUAACACUAACUGGAGGACCGAACCGACUAAUGUUGAAAAAUUAGCGGAUGACUUGUGGCUGGGGGUGAAAGGCCAAUCAAACCGGGAGAUAGCUGGUUCUCCCCGAAAGCUAUUUAGGUAGCGCCUCGUGAAUUCAUCUCCGGGGGUAGAGCACUGUUUCGGCAAGGGGGUCAUCCCGACUUACCAACCCGAUGCAAACUGCGAAUACCGGAGAAUGUUAUCACGGGAGACACACGGCGGGUGCUAACGUCCGUCGUGAAGAGGGAAACAACCCAGACCGCCAGCUAAGGUCCCAAAGUCAUGGUUAAGUGGGAAACGAUGUGGGAAGGCCCAGACAGCCAGGAUGUUGGCUUAGAAGCAGCCAUCAUUUAAAGAAAGCGUAAUAGCUCACUGGUCGAGUCGGCCUGCGCGGAAGAUGUAACGGGGCUAAACCAUGCACCGAAGCUGCGGCAGCGACACUAUGUGUUGUUGGGUAGGGGAGCGUUCUGUAAGCCUGUGAAGGUGGCCUGUGAGGGUUGCUGGAGGUAUCAGAAGUGCGAAUGCUGACAUAAGUAACGAUAAAGCGGGUGAAAAGCCCGCUCGCCGGAAGACCAAGGGUUCCUGUCCAACGUUAAUCGGGGCAGGGUGAGUCGACCCCUAAGGCGAGGCCGAAAGGCGUAGUCGAUGGGAAACAGGUUAAUAUUCCUGUACUUGGUGUUACUGCGAAGGGGGGACGGAGAAGGCUAUGUUGGCCGGGCGACGGUUGUCCCGGUUUAAGCGUGUAGGCUGGUUUUCCAGGCAAAUCCGGAAAAUCAAGGCUGAGGCGUGAUGACGAGGCACUACGGUGCUGAAGCAACAAAUGCCCUGCUUCCAGGAAAAGCCUCUAAGCAUCAGGUAACAUCAAAUCGUACCCCAAACCGACACAGGUGGUCAGGUAGAGAAUACCAAGGCGCUUGAGAGAACUCGGGUGAAGGAACUAGGCAAAAUGGUGCCGUAACUUCGGGAGAAGG
This 1547-nucleotide ribosomal RNA is filed under the name Escherichia coli. RNAcentral describes it as "partial 23S ribosomal RNA". It matches the Rfam family "Bacterial large subunit ribosomal RNA", at positions 157 to 1746 of the family's 2925-position model. Lineage: Bacteria; Pseudomonadati; Pseudomonadota; Gammaproteobacteria; Enterobacterales; Enterobacteriaceae. The record is from RNAcentral.